Molecule: long non-coding RNA, 223 nt
Filed under: Fukomys damarensis (Damara mole-rat)
Lineage: Eukaryota; Metazoa; Chordata; Mammalia; Rodentia; Bathyergidae
Description: lncRNA (ENSFDAG00000033604.1)
Source: RNAcentral
AUAAAACAAAAGAACAAGUGACCGGUCAAACUUCAAUUGUUCUUUAUGGGGGGUCGGGCAGCACAGUGAAAAACGCAGAUUGAAACCAGGUUAUUGUACAAAUGUAUUCAGAGAAAUGCCGAGAUAGACUGUCGGGUACAUUUUGAUACACAGAUGAAGGACAACAUAAUGAUGAGAAUACUUAGCAGGCUGCACAUCUGCCUCUCCCCACACAUGAUUGCCA